This 16-nucleotide transfer RNA is filed under the name Plantago lanceolata (narrow-leaved plantain). Its description in RNAcentral is "partial tRNA-His". Lineage: Eukaryota; Viridiplantae; Streptophyta; Magnoliopsida; Lamiales; Plantaginaceae. The record is from RNAcentral. RNAcentral also lists the same sequence under 9 other names.
GGGCGGAUGUAGCCAA